This 615-nucleotide ribosomal RNA is filed under the name Triticum aestivum (bread wheat). RNAcentral's name for it is "partial small subunit ribosomal RNA". Lineage: Eukaryota; Viridiplantae; Streptophyta; Magnoliopsida; Poales; Poaceae. The record is from RNAcentral.
AUGGGCCUAGUUUCCCUCAGCUGCGCUGCCCGGCCCAAUUGUCUUCACUUUGUUUUAAGCCCAGCCAGCAAUCUAUCUCCUCCCCAUCGUGCAUCUUCGUUCGUCGAACCAAAGCGGUACGGAAGGGAAGCAGGCGCCGUCUCCGUCGCCGUCGUCUCGUUCGUCCCCAAAUCUUCACCGAGCUUCCGCUCCGCUCUCGCCCCGCGCAGCAACGCGGAGGAAGGAAUGGACAAGUAUCACAGCAACACCCGCUUUGCACCCCUUAGAGACGCUCCAUUUGCUCUCCGUGGUGCCUUUGGUACCUCCAACUCAUCUUUCAACAACAUGGAUGGCCUUAGACACUCCUCAAGCAUUGGGCAAGCAAAGAGCUACACAUCUUCUCCCUUAGGAGCUCUGCGACAGAAGAUGCCUCCAUCUGGAAACCGAUCCCUACAUACAAGUCGUCCCCUGUCUGCUCCUGUUGCGAACCGCCCACUGUCUCCCCAUCUUCCUCUGAAGAAACCACAGCUGAGCGCCACGUUCUCCAUCUCACACCGUAUAUUUGGCGUUGCGCUGGGUGCUGCCAUCAUAUCCAUUCCUCUUGCUACCAGGUUUGGCGUCAUGUUUGAGGUCUGA